Molecule: ribosomal RNA, 465 nt
Filed under: Photobacterium sp. RKVR15
Lineage: Bacteria; Pseudomonadati; Pseudomonadota; Gammaproteobacteria; Vibrionales; Vibrionaceae
Also listed under: 1 other name
Description: bacterial SSU rRNA
Rfam family: Bacterial small subunit ribosomal RNA
Source: RNAcentral
CUCCUUUAGAGUUUGGAUCCUGGCUCAGAUUGAACGCUGGCGGCAGGCCUAACACAUGCAAGUCGAGCGGCAGCGACAUAAACAAUCCUUCGGGUGCGUUUAUGGGCGGCGAGCGGCGGACGGGUGAGUAAUGCCUGGGAAUAUGCCCUGAUGUGGGGGAUAACCAUUGGAAACGAUGGCUAAUACCGCAUAAUCUCUUCGGAGCAAAGAGGGGGACCUUCGGGCCUCUCGCGUCAGGAUUAGCCCAGGUGAGAUUAGCUAGUUGGUGAGGUAAGGGCUCACCAAGGCGACGAUCUCUAGCUGGUCUGAGAGGAUGAUCAGCCACACUGGAACUGAGACACGGUCCAGACUCCUACGGGAGGCAGCAGUGGGGAAUAUUGCACAAUGGGGGAAACCCUGAUGCAGCCAUGCCGCGUGUGUGAAGAAGGCCUUCGGGUUGUAAAGCACUUUCAGUCGUGAGGAAGG